Molecule: ribosomal RNA, 1629 nt
Filed under: Triticum aestivum (bread wheat)
Lineage: Eukaryota; Viridiplantae; Streptophyta; Magnoliopsida; Poales; Poaceae
Description: partial small subunit ribosomal RNA
Source: RNAcentral
AUGGGAGGAGAGCCCCUCCUCACCUCCCUCUCCAUGGAGAACAGCAACAGCCAUCCCUGCACCCUCCUCUCCAUGGACCCCGCGGGGUCGCACCCGGCCUCAGCCGAGUCCUCCGGCGGCGGCGGCGCCGGCGCCGUCAACGGGGUCGGCGCCAGUGCUGACAGGGAGCUCUUCAUCAUUCCGCGGCAUGAGUCUGUGCGUCAAGGCCCGCCGGACAUCAACGUCCCGCUGUCGGCAGACCCCUCCCCGCCGCCUGCAUUGUGGAGCCUCGACACGUUUGACAUUUUCGAUGUCGGCCUUGGCACGCACACUCAUGAGUCUGAGGUUGCGCUGACGCUUCCAAAGUCGAGCGGCAACGGCAGUGCUGCAGUCGGCGUCGGCGCGAGGAAGUGCGCUAAGAGGGGGGACAGCAUUUGGGGAGCUUGGUUCUUCUUCAAUCACUACUUCAGGCCUGCACUUGUGGAGAAGGCAAAGGAGAAGGUGACGCGGGACGCGUCUGGGAGCAUCACCGGCUUUGACAAGUCCGAUCUCCGCCUUGAUGUCUUCCUGGUGCAGCAUGACAUGGAGAACUUGUACAUGUGGGUUUUUAAGGAACGGCCUGACAAUGCCCUUGGGAAGAUGCAGCUCCGUAGUUUCAUGAAUGGGCAUUCCAAGCACGGGGAGCCAUCUUUUCCAUUCAGUGCGGACAAGGGCUUUUCAAGGUCGCACCGCAUGCAGCGAAAGCACUACCGUGGUCUGUCCAACCCACAGUGCCUUCAUGGCAUUGAGAUUGUGAACUCACCAAACUUGUCGGCAGUUCCUGAGGCUGACAUGAAGAGGUGGGCUGAGCUUACAGGAAGGGACCUUAAUUUCUCAAUACCGGCUGAAGCGAGUGACUUUGAGUCAUGGAGAAAUCUUCCAAGCACUGAUUUUGAACUUGAUAGGCCACAGCCAGCAGCGUCAAAGGGCGUCGCACAUACCUCUCAUAAUAAUAAUCACAAGAAGGCACUGAAUGGUUCAGGUCUGAACCUAUCUACACCGCCGUCAUCAGACGAUGGGAUGGACCUUUCACCAAAGUGCCACAAACGCCGCAAGGACUUCUUUGGUCAUGGCGUAGAAGAGGAUUGUGCGAUGGCCAAUAAUUCCUGUUCUGAGAGAGAGCAAGAGGUAGAAGUCCACACUGGUGAGCCGUCAUGGAUGCAUGACUUCACUGGUGUGGCAAAGCACGCAAGUGGGCCUGUUACUGCUGCCAAGACUAUAUACGAGGAUGAUGAAGGCUACCUGAUAAUGGUGAGCAUGCUCUUAUCCGAUCCACACAGCGUGAAGGUCACCUGGAGGAACACGCUGACGCAUGGCGUCGUGAAGAUAACAUGUGUGAGCACCGCCCGGAUGCCCUUCAUUAAGAGGCACGACAGGACCUUCAAGCUGACCGACCCUUCCCCUGAGCACUGCCCUCCAGGCGAGUUCGUGAGGGAGAUACCUCUGGCCACAAGGAUCCCAGAGAACGCCAAGAUCGAAGCGUAUUAUGACGAGACCGGUACUGGACUGGAGAUCAUGGUACCAAAGCACCGGGUCGGGCCGGAGGAGCAUGAAGUCCAGGUGCUACAUCACUACAUUGGUGGUGAUCCCCUUGACUAUUCCUUUCUGUGA